This 377-nucleotide ribosomal RNA is filed under the name uncultured myxomycete. RNAcentral's name for it is "bacterial SSU rRNA". It matches the Rfam family "Eukaryotic small subunit ribosomal RNA", at positions 76 to 410 of the family's 1831-position model. The record is from RNAcentral. Lineage: Eukaryota; Evosea; Eumycetozoa.
UCUCUCUGAAUCUGCGAACGGCUCCGCAAACCAGUUGUAAACUAUAGCAAGCAUGCCUGGGUUCCCUUCACGGGGAGCUUGGGCGAUACGGAUAACCCUGGUAAUUCUGAGGCUAAUACGGGACUGCAAUCCCUGGCUAACCGCAAGGAAGGCUGGGGGGCGUGUAAAGGCUUCGCGAGGAAUAACCGGGAAGGGGUACACGCUCUGACCACGACAAAAACAGUUCCGGUAAAUCCUCGGAUGCGCUGGUUCUGAGUGGCUUUUGCGAGGUGCUUCUGACCUAUCAACUAGAUGGCAGCGUAACGGACAUGCUAUGGUAACGACGGGUACAGAGGAUAAGGGUUCGAUCCUGGAGAGUGGGCCUGAGAGAUUGUUAG